Non-coding RNA from Pelobates cultripes (western spadefoot toad), 3949 nucleotides. NCBI's taxonomy places the organism in Eukaryota, Metazoa, Chordata, Amphibia, Anura, Pelobatidae. The record is from the annotation of a GenBank genome assembly.
CGCUGCUCUACACAUAUCUGGCUAGAUCGGGCCGUGACCCAAAAAAGGGCAUUGAACGCAGCCUACGCCUAACCCAAGACAAAAUGCUGGACAUCCUAGGACCUCUGGCAAAAAUUCUUCUACUGGCUGAUGAAGCCUUAUCUAAUGAAGGCCCUCUAGACCCAUCUGUGAUCAGAGAAUGGGCUCUACGCUCUAUUUGCCUGCUGGGCAAUGCUAAUACAUCCCUCUGUACUGAGCGUAGAAAAGCAGUGCUGCUGCGUAUGGAUGCUAAGUUAGCUGACUUGGGAACCAAGGAAUUGGGCCCCAAAGCACAGGGUCUAUUGUUUGGAGAACCCUACAUUAAAGAAUUACAUAAACAUGUAAACUAAUACGCCACACUAAACAAGGCGCAAUCAUCCAUGAAAAGAGUAUUUCACUAUCAACCCUCACGGGUUUUUGGCAGGGCUGGCCGUACAAGGGGUCGCACAGUCAGCCGUUUCUGGACCACAAACCAACGCCAGAGAACCCCAACUUCAUCUUUCUUCCCCAACUAUCAACCAAGAGGCUCUUACUCCCAAAGGGCGGAUAGAGGAAGAGGAUACAGAACCCGCGGACGCAGUAGAUACCCAACAGGUGAGAUUUCCUUCCUUUCACCUUUCUACUGUUUAUCAUGCGGGCAGGUUGUCACACUGUGUAGACAUGUGGAAGACCCUGUCUUCAGAUACCUGGGUCCUAAACACAGUUCAGGGUUUCUACAUAGAGUUUCAUUCUCUCCCUUCUCAAACAGGUUAUCCUCACUAUCCAAAAAUGUCAAGGGCUCAGAGUCUUCACCUAGAUUCAGAACUACGUUCUCUGUUAACAAAAGGAGCGAUCCAACUCGCUCCACCCGACGAAGGUUUCCUCAGCUCCACCUUCUUAGUCAAGAAGAAGUCAGGGGAAUUUCGCCCAGUCAUCAACCUUCGUCAACUGAACUCUUUUGUUAUCUACCGACAUUUCAAAAUGGAAGGGAUUCACCUCCUCAGAGACAUCCUCCGACCAGGCGACUGGUUCACCCGUCUCGACCUCAAGGACGCUUACCUUUUGGUGCCAGUACACCCUUCAAGCCGGCGUUUUCUCCGCUUUCAUUGGCACCACCGAAUUUUCCAAUUCACCUGUCUUCCAUUUGGCCUGAGUUCCGCUCCGUGGUGCUUCACCAAACUCCUCAAGCCAGUCACCACACAUCUGCAAGAAAGGGGCAUCCGUUGUUUAAUCUACCUCGACGACCUCAUGCUUCUCUGCGAAGACGUAUCCAAACUGCGUUCACAGACUAACUAUACUUCUGUAUUAAUCGAAUCCUUGGGGUUUGUCAUAAACCAAGAGAAAUCGUCACUGUCCCCAACCAGAGUCAUUCAAUUUCUCGGAUUCGAAAUCGACUCUUCAACCAGUGUUCUUCGCCUACCUCAGUCCAAGUUAUUCGCGAUCAAGAAGGAACUAUGCAAAACGCUUUGUCAACAGGAUUUACCUCUUCGAGGAUUAGCUCGGGUAGUAGGCCUACUCUCUGCCUCCAUUCAGGCAAUCUACCCAGGCCCCCUUCACUACCGGGCCAUGCAACGCUUGAAAGCUUAAUUCCUCCGGUCUCAUCCAUCAUAUGACCAGAGGGUCCCGAUCACUUCGGAGGUGAAAGAGGAACUCCGUUGGUGGCUCCACCACAUGUCAGCCUGGAACGGCAAAGCUAUUUUCGGUCCCACCCCAGACUUCGUGGUGGAAUCAGAUGCGAGCCUCCAGGGUUGGGGCGCAACCUGUCAUACAACCUCCACCAGAGGACCAUGGACCACCUCAGAACACCUCCUCCACAUCAAUUGUCUGGAGUUAAUCGCAGGCUCAUUCGCAAUUCGCAGUUUGACCAAUCAUCUCUCAAACUGCUGUAUUCUCCUUCGGAUGGACAAUAUCUCUGCUGUCCAAUAAAUCAACAAAUUGGGCGGGGCCAGAUCUCGCAUCCUCUCCGAAGUGACAAAAGACAUCUACGAGUUUUGCUUCCAACGCAACAUCACUCUUCGGGCAGAAUAUCUCCCAGGGGAGACGAACAUUACUGCGGAUUGGUUCUCCCGACAUUGGAGAGAUGGCAGCGACUGGCGCCUACACAGAACGAUCUUUCUCCACAUCUCCAAACUCAGGGGUCCAUUUACCUUAGACCUUUUCGCCUCCCGGACAAACUUUCAAGUCCCACGGUUUUUCAGCUGGCUUCCAGACCCAGAAUGCUCGGCUGUGGACGCCUUCCUUCAGAGUUGGCCGACGACGGGAGCCUAUGCUUUUCCUCCGUUUGCGAUGAUUCCCAGAGUCCUCCUGCAGAUUCGCAGACAACAGAUCGCACUUGUUUUAAUUACCCCGCUCUGGCGGGGCCAAGCAUGGUUUCCGGAUCUUCUGGCCCAACCUCCUGGAGGACCCUCAAGGAAAUCCUCAUCCAAUGAUAACGCAAGACCACCUCCACCUAGUGGCUUGGACUCUUUCAGGGGAACCUGGCACUUCGGAGGACUAUCGCAGAGAUCUAAGGAACUCCUCUGGGAUUCGUGGGCUCCUGGAACUAGAAGAUGCUAUCUCUCCUCCUGGAACACUUGGUGCAAUUGGUGCCUGGAACGGAAUACCGAUCCCCUUACGGCCCCUAGACAGUUCAUAUUGAAUUUCCUCUCUCAUCUAUUCGAUCUAGGCCUUUCCUACAGAUCCAUCAACGUUUCCCAUUCAGCCAUCUCGGGAGCCCAUGUCCCUCUUGAAGGGGUUCCAGUGGGCCAGGACCAGCUGGUUUGUAGACUAUUGCGGGGCAUCAAACUGGCUCGCCCCCCCUAAACCGAAAUACUCCCAUCUGUGGGACGUUAAUGUCAAUAAUUAAUUUUCUCGAGACUUGGCCAAACAACGAGGAUCUAUCCCUCCGCUAACUCUCAGCCAAAUUCACCCUGUUACUUUGCUUAGUGUCCUUCCGAAGAGUUUCGGAUGUUCGAGCCUUUGACCAUGACGCUAUCAACUUUUCCCCAGAGGGUGUCACCUUUUCCGUGACCAGGCGGACGAAAUCAAACUCCUCUUCGAUAUUUUACCCUUAUUUCCCUAACCACCCGAAAUUGUGUGUGGUAUCUCUUCUUUCUCGUUAUUUAUCACUCACCUCCUCUAUCCGUCCAACUUCCUCCAGCCAGCUAUUGGUCUCAUACGUCCGGCCUCAUAAUCCAGUGUCAACCACAACUCUUGCCCGAUGGGUUAGGUGGUUGCUCUCCCUAGCCGGGAUUGAAACCUCCUUCGGAGCCCACUCCAUCAGAGGAGCGGCAGCAUCGGGGGCAUUCAGCGCUGGAGCCUCACUUCGAGACAUACUUCACUCCGCAGACUGGUCCCGAGAACAGACGUUCCGCAACUUCUAUUUUCGUCCGGCUGCGCACGCUUCCUUGGCCCUUCUCGGGGAGCGUUAAAACAGCAAAUACGAAGCCUCCUGUCAUGUUAUAAAAUUGUAGAUUAUGCUAGCUUUAGUGUACCUAUAAUCUUAAUUUUAUUAAUGACAGGAGGCGAGUAUUUCCCACCACUCCUACUUUCAUUUUUUCCCACCCUAGGGUCGCCCCUGUAGGUAAGUUUCUAAAACAAGAACGAACACACUAUGCCUUACUACCAUGGGGUUAGGAGUUAUUUUUCUAUGAGGUAUAGAUUAACUUUUCUAGCGAGCUAUAAUGUAUGUUUCAUAUCAACUGGUUAUCAUAAUUUCAAAGUCCAAUUCACGGAUUAAUCCUUGGCUUCGACUCUGCUCUCUUGUUUCAGCAUGAAACUCCCUUAAGAGAUCCAGCCUAGUUGCUGCUCCAUCACAAGCUUCUCCUCUACUCCUCAAGUUCUCAAGUCUACGUUCCUGUCUCCCUCUCAAGCAUCACUCUUCAAGUCUGGCAUCCUGAAUCACUCAUCUGGUUCCUUCAGUUCCGGUUCCUAUUUGUUCGCAGCCAGAAAGAGGAAAUUACAUCACUGGGAG